Molecule: regulatory RNA element, 54 nt
Organism: Astyanax mexicanus (Mexican tetra)
Lineage: Eukaryota; Metazoa; Chordata; Actinopteri; Characiformes; Acestrorhamphidae
Rfam family: UnaL2 LINE 3' element
About the family: The eel long interspersed element (LINE) UnaL2 and its partner short interspersed element (SINE) share a conserved 3' tail containing a stem-loop that is critical for their retrotransposition. Presumably, the first step of retrotransposition is the recognition of their 3' tails by UnaL2-encoded reverse transcriptase.
Source: Rfam
GUACUUCAAUUUUGUAAGUCGCUUUGGACAAAAGCGUCUGCCAAAUGAAAUGUA